Molecule: long non-coding RNA, 523 nt
Organism: Rosa chinensis
Lineage: Eukaryota; Viridiplantae; Streptophyta; Magnoliopsida; Rosales; Rosaceae
Exons: 2
Source: RefSeq, a predicted model, not a curated record
UGUAGAGUUGUAGACGGGUAGGUCGGAAUGUCCGCUGAAGAUCGACAGAUACACACAAAAAGUCACCUCCCAACCCAAAACCUCAACCUCCAAUAUGUCUUUAUUCAUAGUCCAAUUUUCAUCUCCUCCUCCUUGCUCUCCUUCCUCCCCAAGAAAUCAUGUCUCUUGGCCCAUUGAUGUUCAGGUCACUGGUGAGGCUACUAACAUCACUGAUUCGUGAUCCGGCUGCUUCAAUCUCAACCCUGCUCUUCUACAGUGAGCUUCUACCUCAGAAUAUCGUGCUAGAAAGAUUAGUUCGACAUGAAUUGCUUGACCAAGAAAACUAUUUGUUCCACUUCCUGGUCAACUUUUUGAGAUGUUUUUGGUAAGAAUUAGGCAUAUAUGACUCGUUAUUCCAAUACAGGAGCCGGCAUUUUUAUUGUAAUGGCAUACCAUUAGUUAGUUCUGAGUGUUUGGGAUUGAAAUAACACUGUAAUGCUACUGACUUCAAAUCAUAAUGAGAAAUUUAGUUUCACUUUUGUAA